GCGGUGGAGCAUGUGGUUUAAUUCGAUGAUACGCGAGGAACCUUACCUGGGCUCGAACGUAAGAUGACUGUAGGUGAAAGCUUACAUCUCUUCGGAGCAUUUUACGAGGUGCUGCAUGGUUGUCGUCAGCUCGUGCCGUGAGGUGUCGGGUUAAGUCCCAUAACGAGCGCAACCCCUACCUUUAGUUGCCAUCAGGUAAUGCUGGGGACUCUAAAGGAACUGCCUACGCAAGUAGUGAGGAAGGCGGGGAUGACGUCAAAUCAGCACGGCCCUUACGUCCAGGGCUACACACGUGCUACAAUGGCCGAUACAGAGGGCAGCUACCUGGUGACAGGAUGCAAAUCUCCAAAGUCGGUCUCAGUUCGGAUCGGAGUCUGCAACCCGACUCCGUGAAGUUGGAUUCGCUAGUAAUCGCGCAUCAGCCAUGGCGCGGUGAAUACGUUCCCGGGCCUU
Molecule: ribosomal RNA, 453 nt
Filed under: uncultured Sphingobacteriales bacterium
Lineage: Bacteria; Pseudomonadati; Bacteroidota; Sphingobacteriia; Sphingobacteriales
Description: bacterial SSU rRNA
Rfam family: Bacterial small subunit ribosomal RNA
Source: RNAcentral